UCUGGUGACAAUGGCAAAGAGGUCACACCUGUUCCCAUGCCGAACACAGAAGUUAAGCUCUUUAGCGCCGAUGGUAGUCGGACUUACGU
Molecule: ribosomal RNA, 89 nt
Filed under: Staphylococcus casei
Lineage: Bacteria; Bacillati; Bacillota; Bacilli; Caryophanales; Staphylococcaceae
Also listed under: 1 other name
Source: RNAcentral